RNAcentral lists this ribosomal RNA (253 nucleotides) under uncultured bacterium. Its description in RNAcentral is "partial 16S ribosomal RNA". It matches the Rfam family "Bacterial small subunit ribosomal RNA", at positions 524 to 776 of the family's 1533-position model. The record is from RNAcentral.
UACGUAGGGUGCGAGCGUUAAUCGGAAUUACUGGGCGUAAAGCGUGCGCAGGCGGUUUCGUAAGACAGGUGUGAAAUCCCCGGGCUCAACCUGGGAACUGCGCUUGUGACUGCGAAGCUGGAGUGUGGCAGAGGGAGGUGGAAUUUCGGGUGUAGCGGUGGAAUGCGUAGAUAUCCGAAAGAACACCGGUGGCGAAGGCGACUCGCUGGGCUCUUGCUGACACUGAAUCACGACAGCGUGGGGAGCAAACAGG